RNAcentral lists this ribosomal RNA (492 nucleotides) under uncultured bacterium. RNAcentral's name for it is "partial 16S ribosomal RNA". It matches the Rfam family "Bacterial small subunit ribosomal RNA", at positions 29 to 507 of the family's 1533-position model. The record is from RNAcentral.
AGUGAACGCUGGCGGUAGGCCUAACACAUGCAAGUCGAACGGCAGCACAGUAAGAGCUUGCUCUUACGGGUGGCGAGUGGCGGACGGGUGAGGAAUACAUCGGAGUCUACUUUUUCGUGGGGGAUAACGUAGGGAAACUUACGCUAAUACCGCAUACGACCUACGGGUGAAAGCAGGGGAUCUUCGGACCUUGCGCGAUUGAAUGAGCCGAUGUCGGAUUAGCUAGUUGGCGGGGUAAAGGCCCACCAAGGCGACGAUCCGUAGCUGGUCUGAGAGGAUGAUCAGCCACACUGGAACUGAGACACGGUCCAGACUCCUACGGGAGGCAGCAGUGGGGAAUAUUGGACAAUGGGCGCAAGCCUGAUCCAGCCAUACCGCGUGGAUGAAGAAGGCCUUCGGGUUGUAAAGCCCUUUUGUUGGGAAAGAAAAGCAGCAGGUUAAUACCCCGCUGUUCUGACGGUACCCAAAGAAUAAGCACCGGCUAACUUCGUG